CCCCCCUUUAAUUAAUCCAGCCCACCCUUUAAUUAAUUCACCCCCCCUUUAAUUAAUUCACACCCCCCCCUUUAAUUAAUUCAGUCCCAGACAUAAAAUAUCUACUCACAUUUCAAAGAUUCCUUGCCCGCCGAGUCCGACCACUGGGUGCCUCACCGCCCGGAAAUGGAUCCUUCCGCUGAAGAUCCGUGAAGGCAGACUGACGGCGCUGCGAAAGGUCGUCAUCACGUUGCGCGAUGCCGCGGCCCGCAACGCUCCUCCCCCUCCUCCUCAUACGGUAGAAGAAGGAAGUCUCGCCGGGCCGCAAAGGUGCAAUGCCUAGGUCUUAUUUUCGGGGUAGGGCUUAUAUUGCAGCCCACCCCGAUAAUCCGGCUAGGGCUUAUUUUCGGGGUAGGGUGUAUUUUCGGGGAAACACGG
Non-coding RNA from Pelobates cultripes (western spadefoot toad), 417 nucleotides. Lineage: Eukaryota; Metazoa; Chordata; Amphibia; Anura; Pelobatidae. The record is from the annotation of a GenBank genome assembly.